CCUACGGGAGGCUGCAGUGAGGAAUAUUGGUCAAUGGUCGGGAGACUGAACCAGCCAAGCCGCGUGAGGGAUGAAGGUACAGAGUAUCGUAAACCUCUUUUGUCAGGGAACAAAGGCGGGGACGUGUCCCCGGAUGAGUGUACCUGAAGAAAAAGCAUCGGCUAACUCCGUCCAAGCAGCCGCGGUAAUCCGGAGGAUGCGAGAGUUAUCGGGAUUUAUGGGGUUAAAAGGGUGCGCAGGCGGUCUGUUAAGUCAGCGGUAAAAGCCCGGGGCGAAACCCCGGCCCGCCGUUGAAACUGGCAGUCUCGAGUUGGAGAGAGGUAUGCGGAAUGCGCGGUGUAGCGGUGAAAUGCAUAGAUAUCGCGCAGAACUCCGAUUGCGAAGGCAGCAUGCCGGCUCCACACUGACGCUGAGGCACGAAAGCGUGGGUAUCGAACAGGAUUAGAUACCCCAGUAGUC
This 459-nucleotide ribosomal RNA is filed under the name uncultured bacterium. RNAcentral describes it as "partial 16S ribosomal RNA". It matches the Rfam family "Bacterial small subunit ribosomal RNA", at positions 338 to 795 of the family's 1533-position model. The record is from RNAcentral.